RNAcentral lists this ribosomal RNA (46 nucleotides) under Beauveria tenella. RNAcentral's name for it is "28S ribosomal RNA". The record is from RNAcentral. RNAcentral also lists the same sequence under 2 other names. Lineage: Eukaryota; Fungi; Ascomycota; Sordariomycetes; Hypocreales; Cordycipitaceae.
UUGACCUCGAAUCAGGUAGGACUACCCGCUGAACUUAAGCAUAUCA